GCCAGCUUGGCCGAGUGGUUAAGGUACGUUUUGAUUAUCAGAACUUUGUUGCGUCUAGUACUAACAAAUAUCUAGGCGAUAGACUUAAGUUCUAUUAUCAUAUUGAUGCGCGGGUUCGAAUCCCGCAGCUGGUA
This is a non-coding RNA of Biscogniauxia sp. FL1348, 134 nucleotides long. The record is from the annotation of a GenBank genome assembly. Lineage: Eukaryota; Fungi; Ascomycota; Sordariomycetes; Xylariales; Xylariaceae.